This is a non-coding RNA of Vicia faba (fava bean), 285 nucleotides long. Lineage: Eukaryota; Viridiplantae; Streptophyta; Magnoliopsida; Fabales; Fabaceae. The record is from the annotation of a GenBank genome assembly.
AUGAAGAUCCCAGAAAAGCUCCUCAAACUAAAAUACCAUUUCUUCACUCUAACCCUCUUAUCUCUAACCCUCUUUUCCCUCAUACUCAUGGCCCCAAAACUGGUUACCCUCUUCACCUAUUUCUGGCCACUCUUUCUCUCCACCGCACUCGUCCUCGCCCUCGUCUUCGUCUUCGCUAAGACCUCUCCUCUUCCCAACACCGACGCUUCUAUUCAUAAGGAUCUCCUUGAUUACGUCUCCGGUCAUCAUGAUUCGCACUUGGAUCUUCACAAUAAGUCCGAUUAA